GGGGCUGACCGGUUUUGACAGCGGGUUUGAGUCUUGAAGUAAGCAUGCCGAGGGUUGUAAGGGACCUCGUAAAUCGGAACUUUCAAACUACAAAUGGCAAUAAUAGCUACGCACUCGCUGCGUAAUUUUACCAAGUAAAAUUACCUUAAUCCGCCCGGUCAAGGAAUCGGGCCGACGAGUACCCGUCGGAGGGGGACCGCUUUUAGCCCCGUUCGGCAAUGGGUAUCAUUCAAAUAAAAGAUAGCCAUUCGGGCGUCCGGACCGAACGGCGAAACUCAACGGAAUACGGAAUUGACUCGGGUGCCUUCCUCCUGGUUUUUUCCCGACAAUCAAGCGGAGACUAAGCAUGUAGAAAGCUUUGGGGUUCCUCGUUUGGACGAGGGUUCGAUUCCCUCCAGCUCCACA
Molecule: transfer-messenger RNA, 405 nt
Filed under: uncultured Rikenella sp.
Lineage: Bacteria; Pseudomonadati; Bacteroidota; Bacteroidia; Bacteroidales; Rikenellaceae
Rfam family: transfer-messenger RNA
About the family: Bacterial tmRNA, also known as 10Sa RNA or SsrA, is named for its dual tRNA and mRNA-like properties. Its role is to liberate the mRNA from a stalled ribosome.
Source: RNAcentral